Molecule: ribosomal RNA, 426 nt
Filed under: uncultured bacterium
Lineage: Bacteria
Description: partial 16S ribosomal RNA
Rfam family: Bacterial small subunit ribosomal RNA
Source: RNAcentral
GUGAGGAAUUUUCCGCAAUGGGCGAAAGCCUGACGGAGCAAUGUCGCGUGAAGGAUGAAGGCCUAUGGGUUGUAAACUUCUUUUCUCAGAAAAGAAUUAUGACGGUAUCUGAGGAAUAAGCAUCGGCUAACUCUGUGCCAGCAGCCGCGGUAAGACAGAGGAUGCAAGCGUUAUCCGGAAUGAUUGGGCGUAAAGCGUCUGUAGGUUGUUUAAAAAGUAUUCUGUCAAAGAUUAGGGCUUAACCCUAGAUAGGCAGAAUAAACUUUUAAGCUAGAGUUUGGUAGAGGCAGAGGGAAUUCCCGGUGGAGUGGUGAAAUGCGUAGAUAUCGGGAGGAACACCAAAGGCGAAGGCACUCUGCUGGGCCAAUACUAACACUGAGAGACGAAAGCGAGGGGAGCAAAUGGGAUUAGAAACCCCAGUAGUCC